This 377-nucleotide ribosomal RNA is filed under the name uncultured bacterium. Its description in RNAcentral is "bacterial SSU rRNA". It matches the Rfam family "Bacterial small subunit ribosomal RNA", at positions 523 to 898 of the family's 1533-position model. The record is from RNAcentral.
AUACGUAGGGGACGAGCGUUGUCCGGAAUUACUGGGCGUAAAGCGCGUGCAGGCGGUUUGACAAGUCUGAUGUGAAAGCCCCGGGCUUAACCUGGGAAGUGCAUUGGAAACUGUUGGACUUGAGUACUGGAGAGGAAGGGGGAAUUCCCGGUGUAGAGGUGAAAUUCGUAGAGAUCGGGAGGAAUACCAGUGGCGAAGGCGCCCUUCUGGACGGCUACUGACGCUGAGACGCGAAAGCGUGGGGAGCAAACAGGAUUAGAUACCCUGGUAGUCCACGCUGUAAACGAUGAGCACUAGGUGUAGCGGGUACUCACUCCUGCUGUGCCGUAGCUAACGCGUUAAGUGCUCCGCCUGGGGAUUACGGUCGCAAGACUAAA